This 917-nucleotide small RNA is filed under the name Pan troglodytes (chimpanzee). RNAcentral describes it as "processed transcript". Lineage: Eukaryota; Metazoa; Chordata; Mammalia; Primates; Hominidae. The record is from RNAcentral.
AGAGCCAGGAAUUUUCUGCAACUGAGCAGGGGGAGGAGUUGUGGCUGUUUCCCUCUAUUGAGAGGGAACAGGGCGGAUACCUGACCAACUCGUGAUCCUAGACAUGAAGCAUGGAGUGGAGGCGAAAAAUUACGAAGAGAUUGCAAAAGUUGAGAAGCUCAAACCAUUAGAGGUAGAGCUGCGACGCCUAGAAGACCUUUCAGAAUCUAUUGUUAAUGAUUUUGCCUACAUGAAGAAGAGAGAAGAGGAGAUGCGUGAUACCAACGAGUCAACAAACACUCGGGUCCUAUACUUCAGCAUCUUUUCAAUGUUCUGUCUCAUUGGACUAGCUACCUGGCAGGUCUUCUACCUGCGACGCUUCUUCAAGGCCAAGAAAUUGAUUGAGUAAUGAAUGAGGCAUAUUCUCCUCCCACCUUGUACCUCAGCCAGCAGAACAUCGCUGGGACGUGCCUGGCCUAAGGCAUCCUACCAACAGCACCAUCAAGGCACGUUGGAGCUUUCUUGCCAGAACUGAUCUCUUUUGGUGUGGGAGGACAUGGGGUACCACCUACACCCAACAAGUCAAUGAGGGACUUCUUUUUAAUUUGGUAGGAUUUUGACUGGUUUUGCAACAAUAGGUCUAUUAUUAGAGUCACCUAUGACAAAAAAUAGGGGUUACCUAGAUAAUGCCAAAGUCAGCAUUUGUCCUGGGUUCCCUUGUGUGAUCUGUUUGGACUAUGUUUUCUUUUCUUCUCCCACUUGCUCAGCAGCUUGGGCUUCCAUUCUAGUUCUUUUACCAAGAUUUUUGUGUGACCAUGUUGACUUCAUUUGGAUUGCCCUCUUUCAAUUUCCUUGUGAAAACACCCUUAACUUUCUCUUUACCCUUAGCUGAAAUGUUUACGUAGCUUCUGGUGAUAUCUUUUCAUGAUUUUAUGUCU